This is a long non-coding RNA of Sorghum bicolor (sorghum), 2979 nucleotides long. RefSeq lists it as uncharacterized. The record is from RefSeq and is a predicted model, not a curated record. The transcript is spliced from 3 exons. Lineage: Eukaryota; Viridiplantae; Streptophyta; Magnoliopsida; Poales; Poaceae.
AUUUCAGUAGACAAACUUCAAGCUCUCGGCCUCUAGCAGUCCAGAGAGAGUUCGGGAGAGAAGGCCAACUUAGAAAGAGUAGAGAAGAGGAGAGGAGUUUGGGAGAGUGAUCAAGAGCUCAAGAGCUAGUGAAAGAGGGGUAGUGCUGCAAGAGUUCAUAGAGAGAAAUUAGUGGAAGUGUUGUCCAACUAGGAGUUAAGAAAUCUAAAAUCAAGGGGAGGUUCUGUCAAAAUUCAAACUAGCAACUAGACUCAAUCUUGAAAGAACGGCUGACCUCUAGACGGCUAACCGCUAACCUUUGACUAACCCCUUGCACUAGUGUUGUUUGUCUGUAAGCAUUUGUUGUAGGAUGAAGAGCUGGGCAAAGGGAAUCGCCAACAAGGUCUCAGGAAGGACCACAUGGAGCUCAUCCUAGUACACCUCGUCAAGAGCCGGCUCUGACAUGAGCACCGAUCCUCCCGCCGACUCUCAGCCACCAUCUUCCUCUACACCACAAAGGGUUCUCCUCAAGGCAACUCACCUUGCCUUGAAGGAUGUGAGAGAGAAGAACACCUACAUAAAUUGAAGAGCAGUAACUUUGUCCACACACCUGUUCUGGAUGAUGUGUUCCUCUAUGAAACUGGCAUGACCAGUGAACAGGAGAGGAGCUUAGGGAGAGACUUCUGAGAGGGCACCUUAGAGGAUAGCCUCUGACAGAUUUGCUCAUCAACAUGAGCCAGUCUGGCUCGGUGCUGAUCCCACUCAUGAAGCACCGACACACACCAUCUAUGAUGAAUGGCAGGCAUGCCAAUGCCACACACUGAACCCUGGGAUGUAUCCUCUGUUCCAUCCUACCUACCAUCCAUAUGGGUACUAUCCACCAUUACCAUUCAUCCCCACAAGAUAAGGUCCCUCAGGUGAAGCUCCAAGGCAUUCAUUCAGUACAUAUGCAGAAAGGACAGAAGAUGAGCAACAAGGCUUUGAGCAAGGACAAAGGUCUGAUGCUUCAGGGUUCUUCUAUACCCACCAGUAUUACAAUGAAUAGAUGGCAUUCCAAAACUACGUCCACACCUCUCUUGCUCAUAAUGAGUAGAAUUGGAAUGACCAGCGUCAGUGGAACCAAACCACCACUCAGACGUUGGCAUCUAUUCAAGAAGGGCAAGACCAAGCCCACAACACUCUAAGUGACAUCUUCGUGUUCCUCUAGAUCCUGAAAGAAGACUAGCUUGGGGGAGGACCCCCAUUAUCAAGGUAAGUUUUCUUUUCCCUUCAUUUCGAUUUAUUUCCUUUCUCUUUUAUAAUUUUAGAAAAUCAAAUAAAUAUUUGCGGUUUAAUUUGUUUAAAUUUGAGCUUGCUUAAAAAUGAAAACCAAAUAAAAAGAGUGUGUAAUAUAAGUUUACUUUAUUUUUCUAUUAAGUUUGCUAUAAAUAAAAUAUGUAGAGAUGAAGGAAUGAUGGAAAUGAUGAAUAGUUGCUCUGCCAUAAUUCUUUUCAAGUACCUAGUUUUAAAUUUGAAUUCUCCCAAGGAUUAGAUACACUGUUAGACAACUGAAUUUACUCUACUCUUUAAACCUGUGGGAGCAUAUGCUUAAACUAAGUCUAGGUAGUUUAUGGAUCUAAUAUGAUAUAGUCUGAGCUACUGUUUAUCUUGUUCGUAGUGCUAUUAAAUUCUAGAGAUUUAUUUUAUGAAAAUUAAAAUGCUUCAUGAUGAGUUCUAUGUAUGAUAGAGAGUAAAAAAUUCCUACCAUAGCCAUAUUUAUUUAAUAUAGGAAGCCUCCACAUAUAUGUAGGGCUUUGUGUUCUCGAGCUGUGUUGACCCUUAGGAACUCAUCAUGUGACUAAUCUCGGUAUCACGUACACUCAUGUUCACCUCUUUGCUGCUUCUACUCUGGAAGUACGCACCACAUAAAUAUUCCAUAUUCACCUAUCCAAAAUGUUCCACUCUUACACCGAGAGUGAACACCAAAAAUAUUUCCCCUGCUUAUUUGCUAGCCAAUUAUCUUAAGUUCAAUGCUCCAUGUUUUAUCUCUUAUUCCUCUACAAAAUAUUUGUUACAAAAAAGAAUUAUUGGGAUGCAAGAAAAAUAGUGGACAAAAGUUCCAUGAAAGAAAGAAAAGAAAGAAAGAUUUAUGAGCCCAAGUUAUUAUCAAAAUUUCAAGUUCAAAGUUAGAGGAAUCAUUCUAUGUAAAGGAGCAUUAGAAUUAUUUUGCACCCCUUCUCCUUCCGCAAAUAUUCUCUAGUUUAGCAUCCACAUAUAAAACCACACAUGCACAAACCGGUUGGUUAUGUGGUGAGUUCAUUUGGAUCCAAGGUUCGAUCAGAUCCAAUGCAUUAGUUAUCCCCACACCUAUGAGCUCCACAUAAGCUUUAUUAAAUAUAGGGUGAGAGAGAGUGAAGGUUAUAUAAAUGCCUUGUGCCAUAAAUACUAUAUAUCUUGAGAGCAAGAGAGAAGGCAUCACUCCUUUCAAUGCCUUAGAGAGGAUCCAAAAAUACCAUAUAAUGAGAGACUUGAAAGGAUCAUACUAAAGAACUCUGAGUUUUAUUUUGAAAAUUACAAAAAACUCUAGGAUAGAGGUAGAACAAUAGAGCAUGAGACAACAGUGCUUGACUUAAUUGUUCUGUCUUUCAGCUGCUCAAGACCCAAGUAUAGGUAAAAGUCCCAUGGUUGGAAGAAAUAUGAGCAAGUUUGGACAUCACCAUAGACUUAGGCUUUUCACUAACAAUUUCCAUGAGUUUUGGUGAAUGUAUGUUUUUGUAGGGGGUUAUCGGAAUAAGAACAAAAGGAGGUUCACAUGUCAGAUUUACAUAGAGAGAAGACCGGAAUGUCAACUCCAGAAGACUCUAGAAGACUCGGGAAGGCAUGCCCUAAAACCUGGGGCCCACCUGCUGUUGAUAUUUGGUAACGCAAUUAGGAAUUGUUCCGCAAGCGCAUGGAUAUCGGUAGUGCCUCUACCCACUUGGAGACGUAGUCAACUGCCACCAAGAUGAACUCACACUUCUU